This 249-nucleotide unclassified non-coding RNA is filed under the name Hevea brasiliensis (rubber tree). Lineage: Eukaryota; Viridiplantae; Streptophyta; Magnoliopsida; Malpighiales; Euphorbiaceae. The record is from RNAcentral.
CUCUCUUUCUCUCUCUCUCUGUGUCUGUCUCUCUCUCUUGCAGUUAUUACUCAUAGCUAAGCUUCACUCAGUUUUGAUUCUUGAGUCUGCAUUUCUUUUAAUAGUAAUGUGUUUUGGUCAUUCAUGGGCGCGUAAAGGCUUUAACACAUCUUUUUUACUGACUUGUAUCCUUUGACAUUGCUUUUUCAAUUUUCUAUCUGAUUUUGUGCAGCAAAAUAUUAUAAAAAGAACUGCCUCCUGUGGCAUGCC